RNAcentral lists this ribosomal RNA (468 nucleotides) under uncultured bacterium. RNAcentral describes it as "partial 16S ribosomal RNA". It matches the Rfam family "Bacterial small subunit ribosomal RNA", at positions 28 to 507 of the family's 1533-position model. The record is from RNAcentral.
GACGAACGCUGGCGGCGUGCUUAAUACAUGCAAGUCGAACGGAAAGGCCCUGCUUUUGUGGGUUGCUCGAGUGGCGAACGCGUGAGUAACACGUGAGUAACCUGCCCUUGACUUUGUGAUAACUUCAGGAAACUGGGGCUAAUACCGGAUAGGAGCUCCUGCUGCGCGUUGGGGGUUGGAAAGUUUCGGCGUUGGGGGCUGGACUCGCGGCUUAUCCGCUGGUUGGGCGGGUAGUGGCUUACGAAGGCUGUGACGGGUAGGCGGCCUGGGAGGGUGAACGGCCACCUUGGGACUGAGAGACGCCCCAGACGCGUACGGGAGGCAGAAGUGGGGAACAUUGCACAAUGGGGGGAAGCCUGAUGCAGCGACGCCGCGUGCGGGAUGUCGGCUUUCGGGUUGUAAACCGAUUUCGCCGGUGACGAAGCGUGAGUGACGGUAAUGGGUAAAGAAGCACCGGCUAACUACGUG